Molecule: long non-coding RNA, 735 nt
Organism: Eptesicus fuscus (big brown bat)
Lineage: Eukaryota; Metazoa; Chordata; Mammalia; Chiroptera; Vespertilionidae
Exons: 3
Source: RefSeq, a predicted model, not a curated record
UUCCUCCGUUCCUCCUCACAGCUGUCCUGAACACCCAGCCUCCGAGCUGCGCUGCGUUACUACCAGUUUUCAGAUUGUCUUCCUAGGAAGGAAGAGCUCCGAAUUUUCUCUCAACCGUUCUUGUGGCCAAGAAGCGGGAUGGGGACAAGAGGCCUGGUGACCCCCCAAGCUGAAGUUAAAGAAAACCCUGGCUGUUGUGACUCUGCACUUAAAGCACCACCCUGAGCAUCAAAGUGUCCUGGCUUGGAUUCCCAGACCUGGAUGGCUGGUUCAAUGCCCAGGGGCAAAUUAUCCUGCAGUGAGGAUUAACAACACAAACAAACAAGGAAACAAACAAAGAAAAACAGAGGUGAAAAACUGGAGGGGAAAGCUUUAGCCACCUGUGCAGUCUUCCCCAGAAAUGUCAUCUCAAUGAACCAGACUGGAAUUUUCCAGUCAAGCACCAGGUAGGUGAUCUGUCUCAUGGACCUCUCCAUCUCUCUGAUACCCUCCCACCCCCCCCCCCCCCACCUCAAGAUACAAUGUGCAUAGAAAACCCUUGCUGUUCUUGCCCCGCCCCCUCCACAGAAGAUGGCCAGAGUAAUAAUAAUCCUUUCCUUUGUUAACAGCACCUCUGGCUCAGCCUCUCCCUAUUAAAACCUUCCAUUCUGUGUGGCCCCUGGGAGUUCUGCUCUAGUUGCUAGAGAGGAUGCUGCCUGGUUCAUAAAUCUUUUAAUAAAGCCAAUUAAAUCUUUA